This 215-nucleotide ribosomal RNA is filed under the name uncultured bacterium. RNAcentral describes it as "partial 16S ribosomal RNA". It matches the Rfam family "Bacterial small subunit ribosomal RNA", at positions 524 to 737 of the family's 1533-position model. The record is from RNAcentral.
UACGUAGGGGGCUAGCGUUGUCCGGAAUCAUUGGGCGUAAAGAGCGUGUAGGCGGCCCGGUAAGUCCGCUGUGAAAGUCGGGGGCUCAACCCUCGAAUGCCGGUGGAUACUGUCGGGCUAGAGUGCGGAAGAGGCGAGUGGAAUUCCUGGUGUAGCGGUGAAAGUGCGCAGAUAUCAGGAGGAACACCAAUUGCGAAGGCAGCUCGCUGGGACGU